AGCCUUAAGGUGAUCUUUCAUGUCGAAUUGCAAAUUCGAAGGGGUAGAGAAAUUACUCUACUAAGGCUU
RNAcentral lists this transfer RNA (69 nucleotides) under Desmomys harringtoni (Harrington's rat). RNAcentral describes it as "tRNA-Cys". Lineage: Eukaryota; Metazoa; Chordata; Mammalia; Rodentia; Muridae. The record is from RNAcentral.